GGAAUUUUAGGUCAACAUAGAGAUUUGUUGAAAUCCCAUGGCUCGAGUCUACUCCGAUCUCAAACCAAAUCCGGCAUCGAACAUCUCCAAUUCACCAUCUCUUCUCAUCGUUGGCCUCCGACUUUCUCUCUCUGUCCUACAUACGCCAAUUCAGCUUAUCCUCUUCUUCACAAAGGUACCGCGCGUAGCACCAACGUCUCCUCCAAUUGCAUACUCGUCAUCAUAACUAUGUCGUCUGAUUCGUUCGACUUCGAUCUCGAUACCUCCCCUAUUUCACUUCAGCUCCCACUUCAAGAGAUCAACCUUCGCGAUUAUGCCGCCAUAUUAUUCCCUCAUUGA
Vicia faba (fava bean) is the source of this 339-nucleotide non-coding RNA. The record is from the annotation of a GenBank genome assembly. NCBI's taxonomy places the organism in Eukaryota, Viridiplantae, Streptophyta, Magnoliopsida, Fabales, Fabaceae.